GGCGGGGUAGCUCAGUGGUAGAGCACUGGUCUGAAAAACCAGGUGUCGACAGUUCAAUUCUGUCCCCCGCCA
RNAcentral lists this transfer RNA (72 nucleotides) under Elusimicrobiota bacterium. RNAcentral describes it as "Elusimicrobia bacterium (groundwater metagenome) tRNA-Phe". It matches the Rfam family "tRNA". Rfam says of the family: Transfer RNA (tRNA) molecules are approximately 80 nucleotides in length. Their secondary structure includes four short double-helical elements and three loops (D, anti-codon, and T loops). Further hydrogen bonds mediate the characteristic L-shaped molecular structure. tRNAs have two regions of fundamental functional importance: the anti-codon, which is responsible for specific mRNA codon recognition, and the 3' end, to which the tRNAs corresponding amino acid is attached (by aminoacyl-tRNA synthetases). tRNAs cope with the degeneracy of the genetic code in two manners: having more than one tRNA (with a specific anti-codon) for a particular amino acid; and 'wobble' base-pairing, i.e. permitting non-standard base-pairing at the 3rd anti-codon position. Lineage: Bacteria; Pseudomonadati; Elusimicrobiota. The record is from RNAcentral.